UGGCCGCGGUAUUUUGACCGUGCGAAGGUAGCAUAAUAAAUAGUCUAUUAAAUGUGGUCUGGAAUGAAUGGUUUGACGGGGAAUAACUUUUUUGGCUUUAUAGAUGAAUUUUAAUUAUUAGUGAAAAUGCUAAUGUAAUUUAGGGGGACGAGAAGACCCUAUAGAGCUUUAUAUAAAAUGAAGAUUUAGUGGUAAUAAUUCUUUAUAUAUAUUUUGUUGGGGCGACAAUAAAUAAAAACAUUUAUAGAAUUGGCUUUUAUAAAAGAUUAUAUGAUCCAUUAUUAAUGAUUAUUAGACUAAGUUACCUUAGGGAUAACAGCGUAAUUUUAUUUUAGAGUUCUUAUCGAUAAUAAAGUUUGCGACCUCGAUGUUGGAUUAAGAGCCUUUUAGGGUGUAGCAGCUUUAAAAAGUAGUCUGUUCGACUAUUAAAAUCUUACA
This 438-nucleotide ribosomal RNA is filed under the name Digitipes barnabasi. RNAcentral's name for it is "partial 16S ribosomal RNA". It matches the Rfam family "Bacterial large subunit ribosomal RNA", at positions 1928 to 2600 of the family's 2925-position model. The record is from RNAcentral. Lineage: Eukaryota; Metazoa; Arthropoda; Chilopoda; Scolopendromorpha; Scolopendridae.